RNA transcript from Scleropages formosus (Asian bonytongue), 2103 nucleotides. It is a transcript of the gene named napsin A aspartic peptidase, with no coding region annotated. The transcript has 10 exons. NCBI's taxonomy places the organism in Eukaryota, Metazoa, Chordata, Actinopteri, Osteoglossiformes, Osteoglossidae. The record is from RefSeq and is a predicted model, not a curated record.
UGACAGGAGGAAGCGGCCCGUUAAAGCGCUCACACGCUCUUCUUUCGUCCGCGGGAGAAAAGUUGUGCAACUUCUUUUUUACUGCGACAAGAUACCAUGAACCGAUUACAUUUACUUUAUUUCAUUAUAUCCCUCGUUAUAAGUCAAAGCGAUGCCGUGUUCAGGGUCCCUUUACACAGGACGCGCACUGUGCGGAGACUGCUGUGCGACAGUGGGAUGACCCUCGAUGAGCUUAGGGCCAAGGCUGAGGAACUCGCCGGAUCGUGGGGUUAUUCCGUGCAGGAGGUUCCCGUGGAGCGGCUCACCAACUUCAUGGAUGCUCAGUACUAUGGCGUGAUCAGCAUCGGGUCCCCUCCGCAGAACUUCUCUGUGCUCUUCGACACUGGUUCCUCAAACCUGUGGGUGCCCUCCAUUCACUGCUCCUUCCUGGACAUUGCUUGCUGGUUCCACCGCAGAUAUGAUUCCAGGAAGUCCAACUCCUACGUGAAGAAUGGCACCAAGUUCUCCAUCCAGUAUGGCCGAGGCAGCCUGUCGGGGUUUCUCAGCCAGGACGUGGUCUCGCUGGCUGAUUUGGUGGUGACAGGGCAGCAGUUCGGCGAGGCCGUUAGCCAGCCCGGCAUCGUGUUUGCGGUGGCACGCUUUGACGGCGUGCUGGGGAUGGGGUAUCCUUCCAUCUCCGUGGGCAGCGUCACCCCCGUCUUCGACUCCGCAAUGGCUGCCAAGCUGCUGCCCCAGAACAUCUUCUCCUUCUACAUGAACAGGGACCCCACAGCAGAUGUCGGGGGUGAGCUCAUGCUGGGGGGUAUCGACAAGCAGUAUUACCAGGGUGAGCUGCACUACGUCAACGUUACCCGCAAAGCCUACUGGCAGAUAAAGAUGGACGGAGUUGCUGUUGGAAACCAGCUGACGUUGUGCAAGGGAGGCUGCCAGGCGAUCGUCGACACAGGAACGUCUCUUAUCGCCGGACCUGCGCAGGAAGUGCGAGCUCUGCAUAAGGCCAUUGGGGCUUUGCCCCUCUUGAUGGGGGAGUAUCUGAUUCUGUGCUCGAAGAUCCCAUCCCUCCCAGUUAUUUCCUUUACUCUGGGAGGAAAGCAGUUCAAUCUAACUGGAGAGGACUAUGUCCUGAAGGAAUCUCAGAUGGGGAAGUCGAUCUGUCUCUCGGGGUUCAUGGCCCUGGAUGUGCCGCCCCCAGCCGGGCCACUCUGGAUCCUGGGAGACGUCUUCAUUGGACGCUACUACAGCGUGUUUGACCGAGACGCGGAUCGAGUGGGUUUCGCGCCCGCAAAGUAGAGUUUUAUGGACAAGGGAUCAGAGCCAGAGGUGAUGAUACAAAGACGAAGCCUGCUGCUGGUCACACGCUUCCCUGCCAGCUUUCUGAGCUUCAUCACAUGCCAUCUUAUAUCACCACCUGCGGUCUAUCCUGCACUCAUUCCCCAAAGUAUUAAGUAUAGCAGAAUCGGUAAUGGAAAUUCCAAAUAUGGUUUAUUGUUGAGGUAAAGACUAGGCUCGGGGUAUGAGGAGCGAGAUCAGACAACAGGAUUCCACUACAUUUUCAUGUCUUUAAUAACAGUGCCUGAAGCCAGCAGAAUCUGAAUACAUUAAAGUCAGAAAACUGAAUAUUGACAGGCCACAAUCUUUGAACACAGUUUACCAUUUGGAGCGUGCCCUUCAAUCCUAACACGUCACAGGAACACGCUGCUGACUGACAGUAUUCUCUUCCCCGAAUACACUACUAUCUGUAACAUUUAUAGAAACAAGUAGUGUCUGCAUAUAAAUAUCCUGAAAUGAAAAGAUACACUGCAUAGAGACAGUGCACAGACCCAUAAAAUACACAAUUCUGUUCAGAAGAUUUCCAAAAAAGUUGCUUCAAGUGGUUAAUGUUAAAAUAAAUGAAACAAUGCUGGAAAAGGUAUGAUUCUGGACCAUUAUGUAGGUUUAUAGAUAUUUAAGUGGAUAUUCUCAGUGAAUUUCGGUUCACUUACACAUAAAGUGACAAAUGCAUUUGCAACCGUUUGGUUGUGCCUGCAUGAUAAAUACAAAAUUAGUUAUAAAAAAAAAGUACAUAUAUUGCACAUCUCUUUAUUAAAUAAAUUUAUCCUUACA